RNAcentral lists this non-coding RNA (27 nucleotides) under Rattus norvegicus (Norway rat). The record is from RNAcentral. Lineage: Eukaryota; Metazoa; Chordata; Mammalia; Rodentia; Muridae.
UGAGCAAGACAUGGUGAAAUCUACCCC